GCGGUUGGCCAUCACAGCUUGCUUUUUGGAACAGCAAGAGGUGAAUUUCUGGACCUCUUUUCCACUACUCGCGACAACUGCUUCACAGCUUCCUUGGGCAGCCGACGUGGCGAGCUCAACCACAUCCCUCCAUCGGCAAUAAUGGUUGUUCCAUUCACGUACUUACCUGCAUCCGAGGCAAGGUAGAGAGCAGCCAUAGCAAUAUCCCAUUUUUCUCCAAUUCUGUACAGAGGCAUAUCAUCCCUUACUUUGCUAUUU
Molecule: unclassified non-coding RNA, 258 nt
Filed under: Hevea brasiliensis (rubber tree)
Lineage: Eukaryota; Viridiplantae; Streptophyta; Magnoliopsida; Malpighiales; Euphorbiaceae
Source: RNAcentral